This 586-nucleotide ribosomal RNA is filed under the name uncultured bacterium. Its description in RNAcentral is "partial 16S ribosomal RNA". It matches the Rfam family "Bacterial small subunit ribosomal RNA", at positions 355 to 1375 of the family's 1533-position model. The record is from RNAcentral.
UGGGGAAUUUUGGACAAUGGGCGAAAGCCUGAUCCAGCAAUGCCGCGUGUGUGAAGAAGGCCUUCGGGUUGUAAAGCACUUUUGUCCGGAAAGAAAUCCUUGGCUCUAAUACAGUCGGGGGAUGACGGUACCGGAAGAAUAAGCACCGGCUAACUACGUGCCAGCAGCCGCGGUAAUACGUAGGGUGCAAGCGUUAAUCGGAAUUACUGGGCGUAAAGCGUGCGCAGGCGGUUUGCUAAGACCGAUGUGAAAUCCCCGGGCUCAACCUGGGAACUGCAUUGGUGACUGGCAGGCUAGAGUAUGGCAGAGGGGGGUAGAAUUCCACGUGUAGCAGUGAAAUGCGUAGAGAUGUGGAGGAAUACCGAUGGCGAAGGCAGCCCCCUGGGCCAAUACUGACGCUCAUGCACGAAAGCGUGGGGAGCAAACAGGAUUAGAUACCCUGGUAGUCCACGCCCUAAACGAUGUCAACUAGUUGUUGGGGGAUUCAUUUCCCUAGUAACGUAGCUAACGCGUGAAGUUGACCGCCUGGGGAGUACGGUCGCAAGAUUAAAACUCAAAGGAAUUGACGGGGUCAUAGCUGUUUCCU